GGCUCCUUGUAAUUUAAAUAAAUAAGGAGUCGGGCCUGCCCGGUGAAAUUUUUAAACGGCCGCGGUACUCUGACCGUGCAAAGGUAGCAUAAUCAUUUGCCUUAUAAUUGAAGGCUAGUAUGAAUGGUUUGACAAGAAUAUAACUGUCUCUUUAUGAUUAAAUAGAAUUUUAUAUGCAAGUGAAGAAGCUUGUAUUUAAUUAAAAGACAAGAAGACCCUAUCGAGCUUUAAAUAAAUUAAGAAAUUAAAUCUAUUAAUAGUACUAAAAAAUUAAUUCUUAAAAAUUUUAGUUGGGGCGACUGAGGAACAAAAAAAGCUUCCUUUAUAACUAAUAUAAUUCAGACAAGCAUCGAUCCAAAAUGUUUUGAUUAAAGAAAUUAGUUACCGUAGGGAUAACAGCAUUAUCUUUUUUAAGAGUUCUUAUCGAAAAAAAGGUUUGUGACCUCGAUGUUGGACCAGAAUAUCCCAAAGAUGCAGCAGUCUUUAAAGGUUGGUCUGUUCGACCAUUAAAAUUCUACG
RNAcentral lists this ribosomal RNA (519 nucleotides) under Manaria sp. MNHN IM 2007-36855. RNAcentral describes it as "partial 16S ribosomal RNA". It matches the Rfam family "Bacterial large subunit ribosomal RNA", at positions 1817 to 2600 of the family's 2925-position model. Lineage: Eukaryota; Metazoa; Mollusca; Gastropoda; Neogastropoda; Buccinidae. The record is from RNAcentral.